RNAcentral lists this long non-coding RNA (1829 nucleotides) under Homo sapiens (human). Lineage: Eukaryota; Metazoa; Chordata; Mammalia; Primates; Hominidae. The record is from RNAcentral.
ACAGCGUCUUGCUCUGUUGUCCAGGCCAGAGUGCAGUGGCAGAAUCAUAGCUCACUGCAGCCUUGAACUCCUGAGCUCAAGUGAUCCUCCCACCUCAGCCUCCCAAAAUGCUGAGAUUACAGGUGUCACACCACAUCUGGCCUUGCACUAAGUCUUUGAAACACGGUAUAUAUUUCAGCACAUUUCAAGUGCUCACUAGCCCCAUGUGCAUAAUAGCUACUGUAUUUUGGUUUGGGUUUCGGCUUUAUUUGAGAUAGAGUCUGGCUCUACCACCCAGGUUGGAGGGCAGUGGCGCAAUCACAGCUCUCUGGAGCCUCAACCACCCUGGGCUCAAGCAGUCCUCCCACCUCAGCCUCCUGAGGAGCCAGAACUACAGGCACGCACCACAACACACAGCUAAUUUUUUCAUUUUUGUGUAGAGUUGGGGGUCUUGCUAUGUUGCCCAGGCUGGUCUCGAACUCUUGGCUCCAAACAGUCCUCCCACCUCAGCCUCUCAACAUGCUGGAAUUACAGGCGUGAGCCACUGCACCUGGCCGCUACCGUAUUAAGUAGUAUAGAUCUGGAGGAUCUCUAUCCUUCUGACCAGAAGGGUAUGGAGGGCAAGAAACAAGGUUCAUAUUUUUUUCUCAAGUAAUAUGUAUAAAACUAAAAGAUAGCUGUGAGGCUUGAAGUAAUUCCAACAGAUCUUGUAUGCUUCCUGUCCUUACUUAGAUUAAUGCAUUGCUUAGUGUCAGAUUUCAUGUGGCACAAGGGUGAGGGACACAUGCAUCCAUCUAAACAUAUAACUUAUUCCAUGUGGAUCUCCUAGGGAAUAUGGAUAAAAGCUUUCCCUUUCCAAACUGCAUUUCCUAGAGUCUUAAGAACAUAUGAGUAAUCUUUCGAUGAAUGGUUCUUCUAACAAUGUAAAGAGUAGUUUUAAAAAUAGCUAUCAUUGGCCCAGCCCAGUGGCUCACUCCUGUAAUCCCAGCACUUUGGGAGGCCAAGGCGGGAGGAUCAUGAGGUCAGGGGAUGGAGACCAUCCUGGCCAACAUGGUGAAAGCCUAUCUCUACUAAAAAUACAAAAAAAAAAAAAAAAAAAAAUUAGCUGGGCAUGGUGGCGUGCACUUGUAGUCCCAGCUACCCGGGAGGCUGAAGCAGAAGAAUUGCUUGAACCUGGGAGGCAGAGCUCGCAGUGAGCUGAUAGCACGCCACUACACUCCAGCCUUGGCAACAAAGCAAGACUGUGUCAAAAAAAAAAAAAAAAAAAAAGCCAGGCGCGGUGGCUCACGCCUGUAAUCCCAGCACUUUGGGAGGCCGAGGCAGGCAGAUCACUUGAGGUCAGGAGUUCGAGACCAGCCUGACCAACAUGGUGAAACCCCAUCUCUACAAAAAAUACAAAAAUUAGGGCUCACUUUGGCAGCACAUAUACUACAAUUGUGAACGAUACAGAGAAGAUUAGCAUUGGCCCCUGCCCAAGGAUGACACACAAAUUCGUGAAGCGUUCCAUAUUUUGCACAGUCUGGGAAGAUCAUUUCAGUAUCUGCUAACUAGCACUAAGGAAAUAGUGUGAAUCUAAGCAAAAACGGGUGGCACCCAAUGACAAAAUUGUGGUUUUCAUUAAAAAAAAAAAAAAAUUAGCCAGGUAUGGUGGCACACGCCUGUAAUCCCAGCUACUCGGGAGGCUGAGGCAGGAGAAUCGCUCGAACCCAGGAGGUGGAGGUUGCGGUGAACUGAGAUCACACCACUGCACUCCAGCCUGGGUGACAGAGUAAGACUCUGUCAAAAAAAAUAUAUAUAUAUAAUAAAUAUAUUAUAUAUAUUUAUAUGUUUUUAUAUAUAUUAUAUAUAUU